Molecule: ribosomal RNA, 400 nt
Filed under: uncultured bacterium
Lineage: Bacteria
Description: bacterial SSU rRNA
Rfam family: Bacterial small subunit ribosomal RNA
Source: RNAcentral
GGGGAAUAUUGCACAAUGGGCGAAAGCCUGAUGCAGCAACGCCGCGUGAGUGAUGAAGGCCUUCGGGUUGUAAAGCUCUGUCUUUUGGGACGAUAAUGACGGUACCAAAGGAGGAAGCCACGGCUAACUACGUGCCAGCAGCCGCGGUAAUACGUAGGUGGCAAGCGUUGUCCGGAAUUACUGGGCGUAAAGAAUGCGUAGGUGGAUAUGCAAGUCAGAUGUGAAAUACCCGGGCUCAACUUGGGUGCUGCAUUUGAAACUAUAUAUCUAGAGUGCAGGAGAGGAAAGCGGAAUUCCUAGUGUAGAGGUGAAAUGCGUAGAGAUUAGGAAGAACACCAGUGGCGAAGGCGGCUUUCUGGACUGUAACUGACACUGAGGCAUGAAAGCGUGGGGAGCAAAC